CACCGCGGUUAUACGAGAGGCUCAAGUUGACGGACCACGGCGUAAAGCGUGGUUAGGGAAAAACAAAAACUAAAGCCGAACGGCCUCUAGGUUGUUACACGCUUCCGAAGGUACGAAGCCCAAUCACGAAAGUAGCUUUAAUCCUCACCUGACUCCACGAAAGCUGAGAAACAAACUGGGAUUAGAUACCCCACUAUGCUCAGCCCUAAACAUCGAUUGUAUAACACAACCCCGAUCCGCCCGGGUAUUACGCACGCCCCCUUUCUUUAUUUCUAUUUAUCUUCUACCCCCCCCCCCACCUUGUCUGAAACCCAAAGGACUUGGCGGUGCUUUACAUCCACCUAGAGGAGCCUGUCCUAUAACCGAUAAACCCCGUUUAACCUCACCCUCUCUUGCUCUUUCCGCCUAUAUACCGCCGUCGUCAGCUUACCCUGUGAAGGGCCAAUAGUGAGCAUAAUCGGCACAGCCCAGUACGUCAGGUCGAGGUGUAGUGUAUGAGGGGGGAAGAGAUGGGCUACAUUUACUAACAAUAGUAAAUACGAAUACUGCAUUGAAACAUGCAGCUGAAGGUGGAUUUAGUAGUAAGCCGGAAACAGAGUGUCCUGCUGAAAUUGGCUCUAAAGCGCGUACAUACCGCCCGUCACCCUCUCUAAGUUCUACAGAAACAUUAUACCCAUAACCUUCGCUUGCAAAGGAGGAAGUCUAA
RNAcentral lists this ribosomal RNA (706 nucleotides) under Sphyraena qenie (blackfin barracuda). RNAcentral describes it as "partial 12S ribosomal RNA". It matches the Rfam family "Bacterial small subunit ribosomal RNA", at positions 513 to 1490 of the family's 1533-position model. The record is from RNAcentral. Lineage: Eukaryota; Metazoa; Chordata; Actinopteri; Sphyraenidae.